This 470-nucleotide ribosomal RNA is filed under the name uncultured bacterium. Its description in RNAcentral is "SSU rRNA". It matches the Rfam family "Bacterial small subunit ribosomal RNA", at positions 26 to 518 of the family's 1533-position model. The record is from RNAcentral.
AGAUUGAACGCUGGCGGCGUGCCUAACACAUGCAAGUCGAGCGGUAACAGGUGUAGCAAUACAUGCUGACGAGCGGCGAACGGGUGAGUAAUGCUUUGGAAUCUUCCCAGUAGUGGGGAAUAACCAGUCGAAAGAUUGGCUAAUACCGCAUACGUCUGUAAAGGGAAAGCGGGGGCUCGUAAGACCUCGCGCUAUUGGAUGAGCCAAAGUCGGAUUAGCUUGUUGGUGGGGUAAUGGCCUACCAAGGCGACAAUCCGUAGCUGGUCUGAGAGGACGACCAGCCACACCGGAACUGAGACACGGUCCGGACUCCUACGGGAGGCAGCAGUGGGGAAUAUUGGACAAUGGGGGAAACCCUGAUCCAGCGACGCCGCGUGUGUGAAGAAGGCCUGCGGUUGUAAGCUCUUUCGCCCACGACGAUAAUGACGGUAGUGGGAGAAGAGCCCGGCUAACUUCGUGCCAGCAGCCGC